Long non-coding RNA from Apis mellifera (honey bee), 780 nucleotides. RefSeq lists it as uncharacterized. NCBI's taxonomy places the organism in Eukaryota, Metazoa, Arthropoda, Insecta, Hymenoptera, Apidae. The record is from RefSeq and is a predicted model, not a curated record. The transcript has 3 exons.
CAAGUAGUUGCUUUGAAAAGAUUAUACGAGUAUUUCAUAGUACAUACGUAUUUAUUUUUUCCGGUUAUUGGCGUUCGUUGUGCAUACUUUUUUGGUACCGUUAGAUACUAAAAAUAAAUUUCAAGCAUCCUUUGCUAGCUUCGUCAAAGAGGUUACUAGGUUCCUCGGCGAGGUUGUUCGAGCUUGUUCGGGUCACCUUCCACCGAUUCGUCACAUUCGACACGGAUCUCGAGCUGCGAUGUCCUCCAGCGCAGAGGUGUAAAGGCGCGCUCGAUGUCGAUCGCCAGAGUUCGACGAACGUUUAAAAGCUUGGAACAGCCGGAGGCUCGGACAUGCCGCUCGCCGAAUUUCUCGGCUUGCACACGCAACCACUCUCGACCAGAACGUAAUCUUGACCGGUCAAGGUCACCGGUCCAAGCGGGAUCACCAGGAACAGGAAAGAGAUAUUGAGAAUCGAUGACGAGGAGGGAAAAAAAGGUGUCAAGAUUGAUAAUUCUUUACCACUACGACGUGAUCUACGACACGUAUCGUAAAUAAACGCACGGAAAUACUGGUCCAAAACGUUUUCAAAAAGUAGGCUUUGUCCCGGUCAGAGUUGUCCGGCCCACUGUGCCAGAUUCGAAUUAAUGUACUUACCAGUAGGUCUCGACGAAUUUCAAUUGGAAACACGUCGCAUAUAUUCACAGAUCACGAUCGAACGUGCUACGAAAGUAAUGAAUCGAACCUCGUUUUUUAAUUUGCAAGCAAUUGAAUGGUUGAGCGAAUUUUAAAAGAUCAUGC